UUCACUCCUGUCACAGUCUUGUUGUCUCUGUACGUGUGAGUCUCUGUGAGUGCUGUGAGGUUUCUGACAGACUUUGUGUGAAUCAGGGUCUCAGGAAGACGGAACAUUGGGAACGUCAGGAUGUCUGUCUCAAGAGGAGUUAUCAGAACAGGCUUCACAGGCCCAGGAUCUUGAGAGACUGGCUCAGCUCUGCAUCAUGAGCAAAAGACCCCACCUUGCUUUAGAAUACAGUGGCAAGGCCACUAAAAUCCACCAGAGGGCUUUUGGUAACGAUCACCCCAUCACAGCCCGGAGUCUGGAGCUGCUGGCCACUGUCUAUGCUGAGAUCGGCAAAACAGAAUAUACAAAUUCAUUGGGAGAGUGUGUGUCAACUCUUUCCAAAAGGUUCUCAGCCACCGAGUCAUUCAGUGAUGCUCUGAGUAGCAUCUCUCAUAGCCAUAAAGACAGACACUCUGAGCUGCGACACAGAAAAGAGCCAUACAUACAACAGGAAACUCCUAAAUCGAAGGUCAUAAAUGAAAAACUGCCCACCUCUAUUCUGAAAAGGUCCAAUGUGAGCAAUGUGGAGUCAGACUCAUCGCGCAGGCGAAAAAGCGAGAGGCGGGUUCGCUUCAGACAGCCGGAGAUCACUGUUCAUGUCUACGACACCCCCCAGAGCCGUUUGCACCUGGCCCUGCUCACCUGCCUGUUUCUGCUUCUGUCUGCGCUGGGUCUAGCACUGUACUGCACGGACCGCCGAAGACCCCAGCGCGC
Molecule: long non-coding RNA, 753 nt
Filed under: Sinocyclocheilus anshuiensis
Lineage: Eukaryota; Metazoa; Chordata; Actinopteri; Cypriniformes; Cyprinidae
Description: lncRNA (ENSSANG00000037070.1)
Source: RNAcentral